GCAACACAAAUCUGUCCAUCUCAACAGAAUCCUCAUCACUGGACUGGAUUAGAAAACAUAUUGUAUAAAUUCAACUUCCCUGAUUGCUACCAUGACUCCCUAGGAGGUUUCAUAUAGACAUUAACACUGGCGAGUGAAGUAAAACUUUGCAGCAACCUGCUUAAAACCUGUGAAGGACCGCAGUGAAACCUCCCUAUUGAAAAGUCUUCUCAUAAGCUUCCUUUCACGAGGAUGUAUUCGAUUGCAACUUCCUUCAGCUACAUACUUUUCCAACUCAUCUGAGGAGUAAAACGAUGAGAAAUGGAGAUGAUCAACAUCACUUUCAUCCUGUACAGUACACAAUCAACUCCCACCAGCUGCUAAAGUAUAGAUCACUACUCUCCUGAUAAGCUCAGCUCCAUCAUAUUCAAGAAAUAAUAUCACAAUUCCUUAUGAACACCUGUUCCUUUUGUGUGAAGAAAGAAAGAAAGGAUGAAAGGAAGGAAAAAGAGAAGGAAAAGGAACCCCACAAACUUUGUAUUCAUGUCCAUAGGCUAAACCCUAUGAGUUUAACAAUUAUAUUACAUUCUGUCACAACAACAACA
Non-coding RNA from Pseudonaja textilis, 584 nucleotides. The record is from RefSeq and is a predicted model, not a curated record. NCBI's taxonomy places the organism in Eukaryota, Metazoa, Chordata, Lepidosauria, Squamata, Elapidae.